Molecule: ribosomal RNA, 365 nt
Filed under: uncultured eukaryote
Lineage: Eukaryota
Description: partial 18S ribosomal RNA
Rfam family: Eukaryotic small subunit ribosomal RNA
Source: RNAcentral
CAAUAGCGUAUAUUUAAGUUGUUGCAGUUAAAAAGCUCGUAGUCGGAUUUUGGCUGAGAACGAACGGUCCGCCGUUAGGUGUGCACUGUUUAGUCUCAGCUUCCUGGUGAGGAGGUGUGCUUCACGGCCACUUAGUCACCGUGGUUACUUUGAAAAAAUUAGAGUGUUCAAAGCGGGCUUACGCUUGAAUAUAUUAGCAUGGAAUAACACCAUAGGACUCCUGUCCUAUUUCGUUGGUCUCGGGACGGGAGUAAUGAUUAAGAGGAACAGUUGGGGGCAUUCGUAUUUCAUUGUCAGAGGUGAAAUUCUUGGAUUUAUGAAAGACGAACUUCUGCGAAAGCAUUUGCCAAGAAUGUUUUCAUUGA